RNAcentral lists this ribosomal RNA (420 nucleotides) under uncultured bacterium. Its description in RNAcentral is "bacterial SSU rRNA". It matches the Rfam family "Bacterial small subunit ribosomal RNA", at positions 355 to 773 of the family's 1533-position model. The record is from RNAcentral.
UAAGGAAUAUUGGUCAAUGGACGCAAGCCUGAACCAGCCAUGCCGCGUGAAGGAUGAAGGUCCUCUGGAUUGUAAACUUCUCUUAUCUGGGACGAAAACGGGAUUUUUAUCUCAAUUGACGGUACCAGAGGAAUAAGCACCGGCUAACUCCGUGCCAGCAGCCGCGGUAAUACGGAGGGUGCGAGCGUUAUCCGGAUUUACUGGGUUUAAAGGGUGCGUAGGUGGGCUUAUAAGUCAGUGGUGAAAUCUCCGAGCUUAACUUGGAAACUGCCGUUGAUACUAUAGGUCUUGAAUUAUCUGGAGGUAAGCGGAAUAUGUCAUGUAGCGGUGAAAUGCUUAGAUAUGACAUAGAACACCAAUUGCGAAGGCAGCUUACUACAUAUAAAUUGACGCUGAGGCACGAAAGCGUGGGGAUCAAAC